Molecule: ribosomal RNA, 462 nt
Filed under: uncultured bacterium
Lineage: Bacteria
Description: partial 16S ribosomal RNA
Rfam family: Bacterial small subunit ribosomal RNA
Source: RNAcentral
GAUAAACGCUGGCGGCGUGCUUAACACAUGCAAGUCGAACGAAGUUUUUCCUUCGGGAGCAACUUAGUGGCGGACGGGUGAGUAACGCGUGGGUAACCUGCCCUGUACAGGGGGACAACAGCUGGAAACGGCUGCUAAUACCGCAUAAGCCCUUAGCACUGCAUGGUGCAUAGGGAAAAGGAGCAAUCCGGUACAGGAUGGACCCGCGUCUGAUUAGCCAGUUGGCAGGGUAACGGCCUACCAAAGCGACGAUCAGUAGCCGAUCUGAGAGGAUGUACGGCCACAUUGGGACUGAGACACGGCCCAGACUCCUACGGGAGGCAGCAGUGGGGAAUAUUGCACAAUGGAGGAAACUCUGAUGCAGCGACGCCGCGUGAGUGAAGAAGUAUUUCGGUAUGUAAAGCUCUAUCAGCAGGGAAGAAAAUGACGGUACCUGACGAAGAAGCACCGGCUAAAUACGUG